Molecule: ribosomal RNA, 492 nt
Filed under: uncultured bacterium
Lineage: Bacteria
Description: partial 16S ribosomal RNA
Rfam family: Bacterial small subunit ribosomal RNA
Source: RNAcentral
AGUGAACGCUGGCGGUAGGCCUAACACAUGCAAGUCGAACGGCAGCACAGUAAGAGCUUGCUCUUACGGGUGGCGAGUGGCGGACGGGUGAGGAGUACAUCGGAAUCUACUUUUUCGUGGGGGAUAACGUAGGGAAACUUACGCUAAUACCGCAUACGACCUACGGGUGAAAGCAGGGGAUCUUCGGACCUUGCGCGAUUGAAUGAGCCGAUGUCGGAUUAGCUAGUUGGCGGGGUAAAGGCCCACCAAGGCGACGAUCCGUAGCUGGUCUGAGAGGAUGAUCAGCCACACUGGAACUGAGACACGGUCCAGACUCCUACGGGAGGCAGCAGUGGGGAAUAUUGGACAAUGGGCGCAAGCCUGAUCCAGCCAUACCGCGUGGGUGAAGAAGGCCUUCGGGUUGUAAAGCCCUUUUGUUGGGAAAGAAAAGCAGCAGGUUAAUACCCCGCUGUCCUGACGGUACCCAAAGAAUAAGCACCGGCUAACUUCGUG